Molecule: long non-coding RNA, 250 nt
Organism: Numida meleagris (helmeted guineafowl)
Lineage: Eukaryota; Metazoa; Chordata; Aves; Galliformes; Numididae
Exons: 3
Source: RefSeq, a predicted model, not a curated record
GCAGGAAGAGACCACAGAGUCAGAGAGAAGACAGGUGGUGUUGCCACAGAAGCUGUGUGUGUUCAACAGCUGUUUGCCAGAGAAGGAGUGUUUCAUGAAGAAACACAUCUGCAUUUGCAAACAGUGGCUCAUCAAGGUGAGAGACAGAAGGUAAAAGUACAUGCAUGAGAGAACAGUUCUGUGAUGGCUGAAUGCAACGAAAAUGUGGAAAGGACUGUCAAAGGCAGAGAAAACUGGACUGCUUCUGUGG